AGUCAAUGCUCGCAAGAGUGAACUAGCUAACUGAAAUCAUAUGACUCAUUAAUAUGGUGAUUAUGAUAACAUAAGGGAAAAAAAUGAUAUUACCUUAUUAUUAGUGUUGUCCAAAACUGGUGCCAGAAGACUCGGUAAGACCAGAGACGCAAACGUUAGUCAUCUUAAUCAGGCGUAAAGGGUUUGUAGGCUGCUUUAAAAUUUUAAUUCUUUGUAAUAGCUCUUUUACCGUAAUGCUAAAAUUAUUUAUUAAUUAUUUGAUUUGAUAAUAAAUAAUGUAGUAUAUAAAAUUUAUUAUAUAAAAUAAAUAAAUGAUAUAAAAUAAAUAUCCGUGUAUAAGUAAAGAAAUAAAUGAAUUAAAGCUAGGAUCAAAUUGAGGAUAAACCAAAUAAUACUUAGAGUAGGGCUUAUAUCCGUAGAUACUAAGGGGAAUACUAAAGGUGAAAACUUUUUAUCUACUAUUGAUUGACGCUGAGAAACGAAGGUGAGAAUAGGAAAUAGGAUUAGAUACCCAGAUACCUCUCACUGUCAACGAUGAAUGGUGGUUUGUUAGUUUUAAUAAAAACUGGUAACGAUGUUAACACGAUAACCAUUCCGCCUUGCGAGUACGG
RNAcentral lists this ribosomal RNA (611 nucleotides) under Tricholoma portentosum. RNAcentral's name for it is "partial small subunit ribosomal RNA". It matches the Rfam family "Bacterial small subunit ribosomal RNA", at positions 366 to 885 of the family's 1533-position model. Lineage: Eukaryota; Fungi; Basidiomycota; Agaricomycetes; Agaricales; Tricholomataceae. The record is from RNAcentral.